GCGCGAUUUAUCCCCUGCAGCUGUCAGUGAAAGGAGCAGCAGACUCUCCAGCUUCACACUGCAGCGCCGCUCAGGAAGAGGAUAAUUAUCUGCUGACAAAUUAAGGAACCAAUGAUGUCCGGGUGUCCGACUCUGCAGAGAAGAUGUAGCUGGAAGAAGUCCUGACGUCUGGACCGGAUGAGGAAGAAAAGGAAAGACGUCACUCAGGGAUCAAUUUAUGUGGACAGGCAGGGCACUUCCUGUACCAAGCAUCGGCCUGACGAAGCGUUUUGGCGCAUAAACGGUCCGUCGCCGCUCUUUGUACCCCCGCGUCCAUUCCAUCCUCCUCUGCAUGUAUCCCGACUGGUCAAUAUGAUCAAUAAAGAAGCCAUUUACUUACCUGCAAAUAUUUCUGUCAUUAUACCACCGUUCCAAGAUGGUCACCUAUAUUGAAAAAACUGAGACAUUUUUACUGUGUUGAUGAUAACUUGCCACAGUAUCUUGAACACCAUGGUGAGAAGAAGGUGCCAGUGUUAUUGAGUGCCAUGGAGGGAAAGAUUUAUGCUGUGCAGUCUGACGGCCCCUAUGAAGUCGGCUGAAUGCAACUAUGCAGAUCAUAUCAAAAUCAUAAAGAAGCACCUGCCAUCGAUUGGUAAACAAAAUUUAGAUUUUGCAAAUAUAACCAAAUUAAUUGUGAAUCUUUUCUGGCCUAUAUGGCAAAACUGAAAAGACUGUCUGAAAAUUGCCCGUUUGCAGCACGUCGCAGUGAUGCUUUGAGAGAUUAUCUAGUGUGUAGGAUUGUGAAGAAAAACAUCCAGAAAAACUUUUAACAGAGCCCAAUUUAACAUUAAAGACGGCGCUGGACA
This is a long non-coding RNA of Hyla sarda, 845 nucleotides long. RefSeq lists it as uncharacterized. The record is from RefSeq and is a predicted model, not a curated record. Lineage: Eukaryota; Metazoa; Chordata; Amphibia; Anura; Hylidae. The transcript has 4 exons.